CCUACGGGAGGCAGCAGUGGGGAAUAUUGGGCAAUGGACGCAAGUCUGACCCAGCAACGCCGCGUGAAGGAAGAAGGCUUUCGGGUUGUAAACUUCUUUUAAGGGGGAAGAGCAGAAGACGGUACCUCUUGAAUAAGCCACGGCUAACUACGUGCCAGCAGCCGCGGGAAUACGUAGGUGGCAAGCGUUGUCCGGAUUUACUGGGUGUAAAGGGCGUGCAGCCGGGAAGACAAGUCAGUUGUGAAAUCCCGGGGCUCAACCGCGGAACUGCAGUUGAAACUGUUUUUCUUGAGUAUCGGAGAGGUAAUCGGAAUUCGUGGUGUAGCGGUGAAAUGCGUAGAUAUUAGGAAGAACACCAGUGGCGAAGGCGGAUUACUGGACGACAACUGACGGUGAGGCGCGAAAGCGUGGGGAGCGAACAGGAUUAGAUACCCUUGUAGUC
This 442-nucleotide ribosomal RNA is filed under the name uncultured bacterium. Its description in RNAcentral is "partial 16S ribosomal RNA". It matches the Rfam family "Bacterial small subunit ribosomal RNA", at positions 338 to 795 of the family's 1533-position model. The record is from RNAcentral.